This is a non-coding RNA of Cinara cedri, 211 nucleotides long. NCBI's taxonomy places the organism in Eukaryota, Metazoa, Arthropoda, Insecta, Hemiptera, Aphididae. The record is from the annotation of a GenBank genome assembly.
CAACGUAACACAACCUUCCACGAUGACGCCCGUUGGCAUAUUGAAUGUUGAGAAGUAUAUUUAUACGCCCCUACUGGAAAAAAGUCGGUACUACUAAAACUCUGUCCCACAAAACAUCAGUUCGGUUUCUUUUGGGUACACCCUCGUUUAGUACGUAAAAAGAUACGGAACUUCCGUCCGACGAUACUUUAUUUGAAAUAACUAUCAAAAU